GAAAUGCGAUACGUCAUGCGAAUUGCAAAACCAGUGAGUCAUCAAAACUUUGAACGCAACUUGCACUUCCCUUUGGGGAGUAUGUCUGUUGGAGUGCUUGUUCAUCCCCACCACAAACCCCACUUCCUAACAAGGUUCUGGGGUUGUGAAGCCCGCCUCUUUAGUCCUAGUGACUAAAUAGAGCGUAGAUGAAUAAAAAACAAAUAUCCGAUCCUAGUAGUUGUAAUCAGUCAGUAGUUUAUUCUAUUGAUACGACUCGGGAACGCGACGUCAUAGUGUAAUAACUUGAGUAUCGUGUUUUCGACUGUCCGAAUGAUGAAAGUUAUUAGUUCAAUCAGUUAUUUUUCGAUCGAGCCUCCAAUCAGUCAAGAAUACCCGCUGAAUUUAA
Molecule: unclassified non-coding RNA, 388 nt
Filed under: uncultured fungus
Lineage: Eukaryota; Fungi
Description: sequence contains ITS1
Rfam family: 5.8S ribosomal RNA (bases 1-99)
Source: RNAcentral